This 623-nucleotide ribosomal RNA is filed under the name Akkermansia muciniphila. Its description in RNAcentral is "bacterial SSU rRNA". It matches the Rfam family "Bacterial small subunit ribosomal RNA", at positions 36 to 680 of the family's 1533-position model. The record is from RNAcentral. Lineage: Bacteria; Pseudomonadati; Verrucomicrobiota; Verrucomicrobiia; Verrucomicrobiales; Akkermansiaceae.
UUGGCGGCGUGGUUAAGACAUGCAAGUCGAACGAGAGAAUUGCUAGCUUGCUAAUAAUUCUCUAGUGGCGCACGGGUGAGUAACACGUGAGUAACCUGCCCCCGAGAGCGGGAUAGCCCUGGGAAACUGGGAUUAAUACCGCAUAGUAUCGAAAGAUUAAAGCAGCAAUGCGCUUGGGGAUGGGCUCGCGGCCUAUUAGUCAGUUGGUGAGGUAACGGCUCACCAAGGCGAUGACGGGUAGCCGGUCUGAGAGGAUGUCCGGCCACACUGGAACUGAGACACGGUCCAGACACCUACGGGUGGCAGCAGUCGAGAAUCAUUCACAAUGGGGGAAACCCUGAUGGUGCGACGCCGCGUGGGGGAAUGAAGGUCUUCGGAUUGUAAACCCCUGUCAUGUGGGAGCAAAUUAAAAAGAUAGUACCACAAGAGGAAGAGACGGCUAACUCUGUGCCAGCAGCCGCGGUAAUACAGAGGUCUCAAGCGUUGUUCGGAAUCACUGGGCGUAAAGCGUGCGUAGGCUGUUUCGUAAGUCGUGUGUGAAAGGCGCGGGCUCAACCCGCGGACGGCACAUGAUACUGCGAGACUAGAGUAAUGGAGGGGGAACCGGAAUUCACGGUGUAGCA